GGGGGAAACCUGAUGCAGCGACGCCGCGUGAGUGAAGAAGUAUUUCGGUAUGUAAAGCUCUAUCAGCAGGGAAGAAAAUGACGGUACCUGAGUAAGAAGCCACGGCUAACUACGUGCCAGCAGCCGCGGUAAUACGUAGGGGGCAAGCGUUAUCCGGAUUUACUGGGUGUAAAGGGAGCGCAGACGGCUCUGCAAGUCUGAAGUGAAAGCCCGCGGCUUAACCGCGGGACUGCUUUGGAAACUGCAAGGCUUGAGUAUCGGAGGGGCAGGCGGAAUUCCUAGUGUAGCGGUGAAAUGCGUAGAUAUUAGGAAGAACACCGGUGGCGAAGGCGGCCUGCUGGACGAAAACUGAUGUUGAGGCUCGAAGGCGUGGGGAGCAAACAGGAUUAGAUACCCUGGUAGUCCACGCGGUAAACGAUGAAUACUAAGUGUUGGUGCCCGAAGGGCAUCGGUGCCGUCGCAAACGCAAUAAGUAUUCCACCUGGGGAGUACGUUCGCAAGAAUGAAACUC
This 511-nucleotide ribosomal RNA is filed under the name Lachnospiraceae bacterium oral taxon 419. RNAcentral describes it as "bacterial SSU rRNA". It matches the Rfam family "Bacterial small subunit ribosomal RNA", at positions 374 to 902 of the family's 1533-position model. The record is from RNAcentral. Lineage: Bacteria; Bacillati; Bacillota; Clostridia; Lachnospirales; Lachnospiraceae.